UACGAAGGGGGCUAGCGUUGCUCGGAAUCACUGGGCGUAAAGCGCACGUAGGCGGAUCUUUAAGUCAGGGGUGAAAUCCUGGAGCUCAACUCCAGAACUGCCUUUGAUACUGGGAAUCUCGAGUCCGGGAGAGGUGAGUGGAACUGCGAGUGUAGAGGUGAAAUUCGUAGAUAUUCGCAAGAACACCAGUGGCGAAGGCGGCUCACUGGCCCGGUACUGACGCUGAGGUGCGAAAGCGUGGGGAGCAAACAGG
RNAcentral lists this ribosomal RNA (253 nucleotides) under uncultured bacterium. RNAcentral's name for it is "partial 16S ribosomal RNA". It matches the Rfam family "Bacterial small subunit ribosomal RNA", at positions 524 to 776 of the family's 1533-position model. The record is from RNAcentral.